This 253-nucleotide ribosomal RNA is filed under the name uncultured bacterium. Its description in RNAcentral is "partial 16S ribosomal RNA". It matches the Rfam family "Bacterial small subunit ribosomal RNA", at positions 524 to 776 of the family's 1533-position model. The record is from RNAcentral.
UACGUAGGGUGCAAGCGUUAAUCGGAAUUACUGGGCGUAAAGCGUGCGCAGGCGGUUGUGCAAGACCGAUGUGAAAUCCCCGGGCUUAACCUGGGAAUGGCAUUGGUGACUGCACGGCUAGAGUGUGUCAGAGGGGGGUAGAAUUCCACGUGUAGCAGUGAAGUGCGUAGAGAUGUGGAGGAAUACCGAUGGCGAAGGUAGCCCCCUGGGAUAACACUGACGCUCAUGCACGAAAGCGUGGGGAGCAAACAGG